The sequence is a ribosomal RNA, 544 nucleotides long. It matches the Rfam family "Bacterial large subunit ribosomal RNA", at positions 1590 to 2456 of the family's 2925-position model.
ACCACCAUAACAACACAUUCAAGAAAACCCUAUCAACUUUAACGUUAACCUUACACCAGAACAUUCCAGGAAAGAUUAAAAAAGAGAGAAGGAACUCGGCAAAUUUUAGCCCCGCCUGUUUACCAAAAACAUCACCUCUUGACAUAAUAUAAGAGGCCCAGCCUGCCCGGUGACAAAGUUUAACGGCUACGGUACCCUGACCGUACGAAGGUAGCAUAAUCACUUGUUCCUUAAAUAGGGACCUGUAUCAACGGCAUCACGAGGGCUGCACUGUCUCCUCUCUUCAAUCAGUGAAACUGAUCCCCCCGUGAAGAAGCGGGGAUUAAGCUAUAAGACGAGAAGACCCCAUGGAGCUUUAAACACGUACUCACACUAUACUUACAUGCCCCUUAACUAAAAGCCCUGAGUACAAGUUUUAGGUUGGGGAGACCGCGGAGAACAACUAAACCUCCACGACAAACGGCCCUUAAGUCCUUAUCUACGAGCCACAGCUCUAAGAAUCAAUAUACUGAUGAUUAUGACCCGAUACUAUUCGAUUAACGAA